RNAcentral lists this ribosomal RNA (483 nucleotides) under uncultured bacterium. Its description in RNAcentral is "partial 16S ribosomal RNA". It matches the Rfam family "Bacterial small subunit ribosomal RNA", at positions 355 to 828 of the family's 1533-position model. The record is from RNAcentral.
UGGGGAAUAUUGCACAAUGGGCGCAAGCCUGAUGCAGCCAUGCCGCGUGUGUGAAGAAGGCCUUCGGGUUGUAAAGCACUUUCAGCGAGGAGGAAGGUGGUGAACUUAAUACGUUCAUCAAUUGACGUUACUCGCAGAAGAAGCACCGGCUAACUCCGUGCCAGCAGCCGCGGUAAUACGGAGGGUGCAAGCGUUAAUCGGAAUUACUGGGCGUAAAGCGCACGCAGGCGGUUUGUUAAGUCAGAUGUGAAAUCCCCGGGCUCAACCUGGGAACUGCAUUUGAAACUGGCAAGCUAGAGUCUCGUAGAGGGGGGUAGAAUUCCAGGUGUAGCGGUGAAAUGCGUAGAGAUCUGGAGGAAUACCGGUGGCGAAGGCGGCCCCCCUGGACGAAGACUGACGCUCAGGUGCGAAAGCGUGGGGCAGCAAACAGGAUUAGAUACCCUGGUAGUCCACGCUGUAAACGAUGUCGAUUUGGAGGUUGUG